GACGAACGCUGGCGGCGUGCUUAACACAUGCAAGUCGAGCGGUAAGGCCCUUUCGGGGGUACACGAGCGGCGAACGGGUGAGUAACACGUGGGUGACCUGCCCUCAGCUCUGGGAUAAGCCCGGGAAACUGGGUCUAAUACUGGAUAUGACUCCAUGACGCAUGUUGUGGGGUGGAAAGCCUUGUGCGGCUGAGGAUGGACCCGCGGCCUAUCAGCUUGUUGGGGGGGU
RNAcentral lists this ribosomal RNA (229 nucleotides) under uncultured bacterium. RNAcentral describes it as "partial 16S ribosomal RNA". It matches the Rfam family "Bacterial small subunit ribosomal RNA", at positions 28 to 258 of the family's 1533-position model. The record is from RNAcentral.